Molecule: long non-coding RNA, 537 nt
Organism: Onthophagus taurus
Lineage: Eukaryota; Metazoa; Arthropoda; Insecta; Coleoptera; Scarabaeidae
Source: RefSeq, a predicted model, not a curated record
GUUAAGAAACUACUAAACAUAAAGAUUUAAGUUUGUCGAUAAUAAUCGAUAGAUUCUCAAUUAAACUGAAAAUAACAGUGUUAUCGCGUAAUUUUGAUUCUUCAACUGACUCGUUAUGUUGUACCUCAAUUCCCUCUUAAGCUUGGAAAAUGGACAGGAAUCCGGAAAGCUUCGGAUAAUUAUUCUUCAAUCGGACUUCUUUGGAUCUGCUGUCUGGUAAUUGCCCUCGGAAAAUCUUAAUUCGACGUUAAUUUUGGAUUGAAAUUAUCGGAGAACCAAUUUAAGCCGUCCAUUGGAGGUUUCAAGAUUCUCACAAAAGAAGUUUGAAAUUUACAAAUUUAAAAUCCAAUUUUCAAGAUCAAAAUUAUUCAAAAUGUUCCGGAAUCUAAUAAAUUAGAUGUAAGUGACACUUAUCUUUCCGUUUUGGAUGGUUUAGAAAGGAUAUUAACAGUUUUAAGAGAAUUAUGAGCAACUAAAAAUUAACUGUCAACUGAAUUGAGGUUAUGUUUCUCUCUAAGGUAAAACCUGUCUCGGAAG